AUACGUAGGGGGCGAGCGUUGUCCGGAAUGACUGGGCGUAAAGGGCGUGUAGGCGGCGGUGUAAGUCUGGAGUGAAAGUCCCGCAUUCAAUGUGGGAAUUGCUUUGGAUACUGCAGUGCUAGAGUGCGGAAGAGGUAAGUGGAAUUCCCAGUGUAGUGGUGAAAUGCGUAGAGAUUGGGAGGAACACCAGUGGCGAAGGCGACUUACUGGGCCGUAACUGACGCUGAGGCGCGAAAGCGUGGGGAGCGAACAGGAUUAGAUACCCUGGUAGUCCACGCGGUAAACGAUGAAUGCUAGGUGUUGCGGGUAUCGACCCCUGCAGUACCGGAGUAAACACAAUAAGCAUUCCGCCUGGGGAGUACGGCCGCAAGGUUGAAACUCAAAUGAAUUGACGGGG
RNAcentral lists this ribosomal RNA (397 nucleotides) under uncultured bacterium. Its description in RNAcentral is "partial 16S ribosomal RNA". It matches the Rfam family "Bacterial small subunit ribosomal RNA", at positions 523 to 918 of the family's 1533-position model. The record is from RNAcentral.